AACUAACGCUAAAAAAGUUACAGUUUCUGUACUUUAUUGGUAUGAGGAACUUCCAGCCAACUGGCUGCAAUCUUUGCUCGAGGUCUGCGGACC
Molecule: unclassified non-coding RNA, 93 nt
Filed under: Allobodo chlorophagus
Lineage: Eukaryota; Euglenozoa; Kinetoplastea; Neobodonida; Allobodonidae
Description: trans-spliced leader
Source: RNAcentral